RNAcentral lists this ribosomal RNA (253 nucleotides) under uncultured bacterium. Its description in RNAcentral is "partial 16S ribosomal RNA". It matches the Rfam family "Bacterial small subunit ribosomal RNA", at positions 524 to 776 of the family's 1533-position model. The record is from RNAcentral.
UACGUAGGGCGCAAGCGUUGUCCGGAAUUAUUGGGCGUAAAGAGCUCGUAGGCGGUUUGUCGCGUCUGCUGUGAAAACUCGGGGCUUAACUCCGGGCCUGCAGUGGGUACGGGCAGACUAGAGUGCGGUAGGGGAGACUGGAAUUCCUGGUGUAGCGGUGAAAUGCGCAGAUAUCAGGAGGAACACCGGUGGCGAAGACGGGUCUCUGGGCCGUAACUGACGCUGAGGAGCGAAAGCGUGGAGAGCGAACAGG